This 815-nucleotide ribosomal RNA is filed under the name uncultured beta proteobacterium. Its description in RNAcentral is "bacterial SSU rRNA". It matches the Rfam family "Bacterial small subunit ribosomal RNA", at positions 71 to 883 of the family's 1533-position model. The record is from RNAcentral. Lineage: Bacteria; Pseudomonadati; Pseudomonadota; Betaproteobacteria.
AAAGCGGGGCAACCCGCAAGUAGAGUGGCGAACGGGUGAGUAAUACAUCGGAACAUAUCCAGUAGCGGGGGAUAACCUGUCGAAAGAUAGGCUAAUACCGCAUACGACCUACGGGUGAAAGCGGAGGACCGCAAGGCUUCGCACUAUUGGAGUGGCCGAUGUCGGAUUAGCUAGUUGGUGAGGUAAAAGCUCACCAAGGCGACGAUCCGUAGCUGGUCUGAGAGGACGACCAGCCACACUGGAACUGAGACACGGUCCAGACUCCUACGGGAGGCAGCAGUGGGGAAUUUUGGACAAUGGGCGCAAGCCUGAUCCAGCCAUGCCGCGUGAGUGAAGAAGGCCUUCGGGUUGUAAAGCUCUUUCGGUGGGGAAGAAAUGGUACGUGCUAAUACCACGGACUGAUGACGGUACCCGAAGAAGAAGCACCGGCUAACUACGUGCCAGCAGCCGCGGUAAUACGUAGGGUGCAGGCGUUAAUCGGAAUUACUGGGCGUAAAGCGUACGCAGGCGGUUUGCUAAGACAGGUGUGAAAUCCCCGGGCUUAACCUGGGAACUGCGCUUGUUACUGGCAAGCUAGAGUGUGGCAGAGGGGGGUAGAAUUCCAGGUGUAGCAGUGAAAUGCGUAGAUAUCUGGAGGAAUACCGAUGGCAAAGGCAGCCCCCUGGGUUAACACUGACGCUCAUGUACGAAAGCGUGGGGAGCAAACAGGAUUAGAUACCCUGGUAGUCCACGCCCUAAACUAUGUCAACUGGUUGUCGGGGAAGCAAUUCCUUGGUAACGAAGCUAACGCGUGAAGUUGACCGCCUGGGGAGUAC